This 459-nucleotide ribosomal RNA is filed under the name uncultured bacterium. Its description in RNAcentral is "partial 16S ribosomal RNA". It matches the Rfam family "Bacterial small subunit ribosomal RNA", at positions 339 to 795 of the family's 1533-position model. The record is from RNAcentral.
CUACGGGAUGCUCCAGUGAGGAAUAUUGGUCAAUGGGCGAGAGCCUGAACCAGCCAUCCCGCGUGCAGGAUGACGGCCCUAUGGGUUGUAAACUGCUUUUCCAUACCAAGAAACCUGAUUACGUGUAAUUAGUUGCCGGUAGUAUGGGAAUAGGCAUCGGCUAACUCCGUGCCAGCAGCCGCGGUAAUACGGAGGAUGCAAGCGUUAUCCGGAUUCAUUGGGUUUAAAGGGUGCGCAGGUGGGCUUGUAAGUCAGUGGUGAAAUGUUGCCGCUUAACGGUAAAGUUGCCAUUGAUACUGCAAGUCUUGAGUAUAGCUGAGGUAGGCGGAAUGUGUUGUGUAGCGGUGAAAUGCAUAGAUAUGACACAGAACACCGAUUGCGAAGGCAGCUUACUAAGCUAUUAUUGACGCUGAGGCACGAAAGCGUGGGGAUCGAACAGGAUUAGAUACCCUGGUAGUC